This 250-nucleotide long non-coding RNA is filed under the name Elaeis guineensis (African oil palm). Its description in RNAcentral is "long non-coding RNA (EGUI_LNC058647)". The record is from RNAcentral. Lineage: Eukaryota; Viridiplantae; Streptophyta; Magnoliopsida; Arecales; Arecaceae.
CCCCCUUAUUCUUCACAUGAGAAAUAUUUUUGUGUGAUUUUUCUCAUGCCCAGAAGCCUUUUUUAUAUUUUUAUCUGAUUUUUUUUGAAUUAAAAAUUGGUUGGUUUAAAUUUAAGUUCAAAUAGGUUUGAAUUUGAAUGAAAACCUAGAGUCUAAAUUGUGUUGGACUCUCCUCUUCAUGCCACCAUUUUUCUCCACACAUAAAGUAUUUUUGCAUGAGAUUUUUUACACUAUUCUGAUGUUGGUCAAC